This is a small nucleolar RNA of Arvicanthis niloticus (Nile rat), 127 nucleotides long. RefSeq annotates it as small nucleolar RNA SNORA17. NCBI's taxonomy places the organism in Eukaryota, Metazoa, Chordata, Mammalia, Rodentia, Muridae. The record is from RefSeq and is a predicted model, not a curated record.
CCUGCCCCUAGAGACGUUACAGGUAUGGCUGCCGUCCCGUGUGAGUCAGUAGUAGCAGAGGGGGAGAGGCUAUGUCCAUGCUCAGUGCUCUGACCUGUGAAUAUCUGAAUGAUUAGUAGCCUGAAGA